RNAcentral lists this ribosomal RNA (206 nucleotides) under uncultured bacterium. Its description in RNAcentral is "partial 16S ribosomal RNA". It matches the Rfam family "Bacterial small subunit ribosomal RNA", at positions 328 to 538 of the family's 1533-position model. The record is from RNAcentral.
ACGCUCGACACCUACAGGAGGCAGCAGUCGGGAAUAUUGCGCAAUGGAGGAAACUCUGACGCAGUGACGCCGCGUGCAGGAAGAAGGUUUUCGGAUUGUAAACUGCUUUAGACAGGGAAGAAAGAAAUGACAGUACCUGUAGAAUAAGCUCCGGCUAACUACGUGCCAGCAGCCGACGGUAAUCUGAGGCGGGCGUGGACGAAGGC